Molecule: transfer RNA, 85 nt
Filed under: Felis catus (domestic cat)
Lineage: Eukaryota; Metazoa; Chordata; Mammalia; Carnivora; Felidae
Rfam family: tRNA
About the family: Transfer RNA (tRNA) molecules are approximately 80 nucleotides in length.
Source: Rfam by way of RNAcentral
ACCUGGAUGGCUCAGUCGGUUGAGCUUCUGACUUCAGCUCAGGUCCUGAUCUCACGGUUCGUGGGUUCAAGCCCCACAUCAGGCU